UAUCAGAUGAGCCUAGGUCGGAUUAGCUAGUUGGUGAGGUAAUGGCUCACCAAGGCUACGAUCCGUAACUGGUCUGAGAGGAUGAUCAGUCACACUGGAACUGAGACACGGUCCAGACUCCUACGGGAGGCAGCAGUGGGGAAUAUUGGACAAUGGGCGAAAGCCUGAUCCAUACAGGCCGCGUGUGUGAAGAAGGUCUUCGGAUGUAAAGCUAAUGGAGUGGGAGGAAGGGCAUUAACCUAAUACGUUAGUGUU
RNAcentral lists this ribosomal RNA (255 nucleotides) under uncultured bacterium. Its description in RNAcentral is "partial 16S ribosomal RNA". It matches the Rfam family "Bacterial small subunit ribosomal RNA", at positions 219 to 476 of the family's 1533-position model. The record is from RNAcentral.